GCCAAAUGUGAGCUUAGUCACUUCAAACUUGCCCUCACUCUCAGUAUCAUCGGAUCUGCUAAACCCUCGCUGCCCGACGGCGAGGGUUUUUCUUUGG
Molecule: small RNA, 97 nt
Filed under: uncultured Phytobacter sp.
Lineage: Bacteria; Pseudomonadati; Pseudomonadota; Gammaproteobacteria; Enterobacterales; Enterobacteriaceae
Description: Enterobacteria rnk leader
Rfam family: Enterobacteria rnk leader
Source: RNAcentral